This 460-nucleotide ribosomal RNA is filed under the name uncultured bacterium. Its description in RNAcentral is "partial 16S ribosomal RNA". It matches the Rfam family "Bacterial small subunit ribosomal RNA", at positions 338 to 795 of the family's 1533-position model. The record is from RNAcentral.
CCUACGGGGGGCAGCAGUGAGGAAUAUUGGUCAAUGGACGCAAGUCUGAACCAGCCAUGCCGCGUGCAGGAAGACGGCUCUAUGAGUUGUAAACUGCUUUUGUACGAGGGUAAACGCAGAUACGCGUAUCUGUCUGAAAGUAUCGUACGAAUAAGGAUCGGCUAACUACGUGCCAGCAGCCGCGGUAAUACGGAGGAUUCAAGCGUUAUCCGGAUUUAUUGGGUUUAAAGGGUGCGUAGGCGGUCGGAUAAGUUAGAGGUGAAAUCCCGAGGCUCAACUUCGGAAUUGACUCUGAUACUGUUCGGCUUGAGAGUAGUUGCGGUAGGCGGAAUGUAUGGUGUAGCGGUGAAAUGCUUAGAGAUCAUACAGAACACCGAUUGCGAAGGCAGCUUACCAAGCUACUUCUGACGUUGAGGCACGAAAGCGUGGGGAGCAAACAGGAUUAGAUACCCUAGUAGUC